RNAcentral lists this microRNA precursor (164 nucleotides) under Podarcis lilfordi (Lilford's wall lizard). Lineage: Eukaryota; Metazoa; Chordata; Lepidosauria; Squamata; Lacertidae. The record is from RNAcentral.
CACAGCGAUCCCUCUUGCUGUUCUGGCUUCUGAGAUUCAGAAUAUUUUUUUCUUGUUUUCCUCCUCCAAAAACUAGGUGCGUCUUGUGGUCUGGUGUGUCUUAUAGAGCGAAAAAUACGGUAUUCUGAAUCUCAGAAGCCAGAACAGCAAGAGGGAUCGCUGUG